This is a non-coding RNA of Cherax quadricarinatus, 2958 nucleotides long. NCBI's taxonomy places the organism in Eukaryota, Metazoa, Arthropoda, Malacostraca, Decapoda, Parastacidae. The record is from RefSeq and is a predicted model, not a curated record.
UUCGCUUAGGGCCAGGACAUCCAACUUCUUUUCAUUCAUAACAUCAGCAAUCAUCUGUUUCUUGUCAUCUGCACUACAUCCAAGCACAUUCAAGCAUCUCAGUUUUAUAAAGUUUUUCUUCUUCUCUUUUUUAGUAAAUGUCUACAUGAGAAGGGGUUACUAGCCCAUUGCUCCCGGCAUUUUAGUCGCCUCAUACGACCCGCAUGGCUUACGGAGGAAAGAUUCUUUUCCACUUCCCCAUGGACAAUAGAAGAAAUAAAGAAGAACAAGAGCUAUGUAGAAAAAGGAGAAAAACCUAGAUGUAUGUAUAUAUAUGCAUGUGCAUGUCUGUGAAGUGUGACCAAAGUGUAAGUUGGAGUAGCAAGAUAUCCCUGUUAUCUAGCGUGUUUGAGACAGAAAAAGACACCAGCAAUCCUACCGUCAUGCAAAACAGUUACAGGUUUCUGUUUCAGUUCAUCUGGCAGGACGGUAGUACUUCCCUGGGUGGUUGCUGUCUACCAACCUAGGAUUAAUAUUUCAUAUUUAAGUAUUUUAUAUUUUCUAAAUAAUAGUGUUUGUCUGUUAUUAUUUCUUUCUAUUCAUUAAUUUUCCUGAGGAGGAGCCAGCCUUGGUAAUACUGACUGAAGUUGUUACAGGGCCAAGUAAGCCUUCACAAGGAGCCCCCCUUUGAGGACAAAAGAGGGAAAAUCCUCACAAAUGAGGCUAAAUGGAGGGAAAGGAUUGUGUGGUAUUCAGACUCAGUCUGAGGAAGGGGAUUAGAGGUGCAGUUUUUUAGAUCAGGUUCCUCUACUGUGUUUCAAGUAGUGGAUCCUUGGGAUUCUCCAGAUAAAGAUUUUUAUUAUGAAGGAUAAUAAGAGCUCUCCACUUGUGGGAACAUUUAUAUUAUUGAGAUGUCGGGUUCAAAGAUUUAAGACUAUCAGAAAAUAUUAUCAGCUCUUGAAGGCGAUAAACAAGCUCAAAACAUAUAAAAUCUUUAAUAAAUGGUUAAUUAUAUCAGCUUGUUAUACAGUUUGAUAAUUGAACUUUUGAGAAAUAAACUGGGCUAUCCCACAGUUCAGUGAAAAUGGAGUUCAAUUUAAAAUAAAAAUUUCUUACAUUUCAGUCAUUUUUAUAUUUUUCUACUGUUCAGCUUUUAAGUUUCAUCCUGUGGGGGAACUUUCAAUAUUUUUCAGUAGCUCAAAUAAUCCCUUCCCAGUAGAACAAAACUGCAUUUCAGUAUUGUGGAAAGCUGAGGCCAACAAUACUGUAUUAAGAGCUUAUUGAUUUAAAUGAUAAGUAAUUUUGAUUUACUGUUUAUAAGCCAUUUGACCUUUUCAGGAUGGGUCCUAUAGUUUAAUGGCUUUGAAGCCCAGGUCAAUCCUGUAGUUCUACACCAUGAGCUCAGCCUUCCGAGAUAAGCUGUGAGCAUUAAAUUUGGGUCUAGUGCUGUUAAAGGACUCACACUCAAGGAAACUGCUUGAAAAGGCUUCACCAAACACAGCUGAUGCUGACGUCUUUUAUUCAACAGUAAAAAAUUAUACUACAGUUUGCAAUGUUCAUCAGACGGAAUCAAUGUUUUGCACCAUAUCUUCAUGAUAUGACAAAGGGGCAAUAUGCACAUAGUGCAAGUGUCAUCAAAAUGGUUGUCAUUAUACUCAAUAUUGCAGUAUUUAAUGAAUAGCUUUACAUAUCCUAAAUAUCUGCUAAUUGUACACUAUUAUCAUUACAGAAUGCAAUUGCGUAAAUUUGUAUCUGUAGGUUUUACAAACGUAAAUCAAGAAAAGUUAUUGCCCCUUAAAUUUCUUUAUACAAAAGAGUGGAAUAUAUAUUCCAUGGACUUCUCAUUGUGCACAAUGUUUGUACAAUGAACAUCUAAAUUGCCAGCAUAAUUAUAGAAACUUCUUUACAGAAACUUAAUUCAAUAAUAUUGUAUACGAAAAAAAAAAAAAAUAAAUAUGCAAAAUAAUUCAAUGUACACAAAUUUAGUACAUAUUACAAAACAAUACAAACAAGCUGAUACCCAAAGCCAAGUUAGACUUUGGUUAAAAAUCAAGGAAGUUUUUAACAUAUUACUCUUAGACAAUCAGGUUUUAAAUAAAAUAAUGCAAGAUUAAAACUGGGUUCCAUCAUUAAAUUGCACUUGUUUAAAGGUUACAACAGCAAGCAUAUGAAUAAAACAGAAGAGCUCUAGCUCACCUCAGCAACACUGCCAAGGCAUUAUACACCUUACACAUGGGUAAAAAGUCAUGCAAUACCACAUAUUUCCAUGCCUUACUGCAAUUAGUUACACUUUGUGACCUUUUUAUACUAUCAAACUUUGUUACAUUUGCAAGUAUUGUACUACCAAGCCACUUUAAUUAGAACCUGCAUGAACCUAAAUACAGCAGGUAAAAAGUGAAUCUUAUGGAGAUCUAUCACAGGUUUUAGCACAAAGGUUAAGAAACUGCUUGGAAUUAGCUAACAAUUAACAAACCAGUUGCAAUGGUUACUGCUAAACCUUUGUGUAAACAUCUCUAACAAAUGCAAAACAUUACUAGCUACAGCUUCAUGUUCAUAAAACAUUCAUCUUAGCAUUAUGGACUUGCUAUCGAGUCACUUUGUUCAAUGAUUAUGUACGAGAUACACACAAAAGAAUCCUAAUCUUACAUAAAGAUGUAUAAUUACAUAGCAAUUCUUUUGAUUUUAAAUGGGGUAAGCCAGCAAUGCUUAACCACUGAAAGGGUCUGAGUAAGUCGGUGUCAAGAGACCAGUAAGUAAACCACAACUGUAAACAAAUAUCACCAUAAACACUUAAUAUGCAAUGCUGUUUGCAUGCACUACUCGGUAUUAAGCAUGUUUGAAAUUCUUCCAAGCCUAUAAAAUGAUUUUAUGUGGAUAAUCUGUAAAACAGCUGUAUUCUUCUAAAAAUCCAUGACACAUUUUUAGAGAAAAAUAUUUUGACUUUUUAUUCGAUACAUUGAGUAAAAGCUACAAAUGUUA